AUGGACUUUCUGUGAAUGAUGAUGCUUGGAGCGACAUUUUCUGUGACAUAACGAUGUCUGUCGAGUCAAGAUGAAGCUGAAGCAAUUAGAGAGCAACCUGCAGCAAGUGGAUGUGUUUGAGAUGCCAAAGAUUCUCCUGGAGCAGUACCCAACCAGGCCUCAUAUUGCAGCGUGCAUGCUGCACACCAUGGAGGCUAGGUAUGGGGAUCUCCAGGGUAAACUUGUCGCUGAUCUGGGCUGUGGAUGUGGUGUGCUAAGCAUCGGCGCUGCCAUGCUGCAAGCAGGCUUGGUCGUCGGCUUUGACAUUGAUGAAGAUGCCCUGGACAUCUGCGCCCAGAACAUCGAAGAGUUUGACCUGGGGUCAAAUGUUGACCUGCUACAGUGUGACCUGACCUCGCUUGAGUCGGGACGUUGGGCCAAGCAGUUUGACACCGUUGUCAUGAAUCCUCCGUUUGGGACCAAGCAUAACAAAGGUACUGAUAUGGUAUUCUUGAGACAAGCACUAGACAUGGCUAGCACUGCAGUGUACUCCCUCCAUAAAACAUCCACAAGACAGCAUAUUGAGAAGAAAGCCAAGGAAUGGGGCACGCAUAUGGAAGUUGUUGCAGAGUUACGUUUUGAUUUGCCAGCGAGCUACAAGUUUCACAAACAGAAAUCGUGUGUCCAAUUUUGUCAACAGGUUGACAUUGAGGUGGAUUUUCUGAGAUUUUCAUGGACAGAAUCAUCUAGAGCAUCCGGGAAACCUGUGACGGUUCAGUAUGACGAGGCAAAGGCUUUGCUAAGUUGACAACAAAGAUGACCUCUGCCAACAGUGCUGGAGAACAGUGUUCAUGGUACAAGGUCUCAGAAUGUGGUCAUCGACUCAACGCAUGAACGGCAGAUGGUCAUUUUCAUGGACAGAAUCAUCUGGAGCAUCCAAGAAGCAGUAUGAGAAUGCAAAGGCAUUGUCUAGUUGACAAUUGUAAGGGAGAGCCCAUAGUCUUUUUGUCAAUAAUAACAAUUAUAUUGGGGCUAAUCAUCCUAGUACGCAGCUGAGAAGCUGAAGGACGCGGUUACAACGUGGUCAAGCCGGAGGCUUGUAAAGAGCAACGUCAGCAAGAACAAAAGUGUUGAUUUUUGCAGAGGGAGGAAAAAUGCAGAGCCUGGAGAAAACCCUCAUAGCACCAGAGAGAAUCAACAAACAAAAUCUACUCACAUAUGGUCCGAGCCGGGAAUCGAACCUGGGCCACAUUCAUGUGGUGGUUUUCCCUUUUAAAUGCCUGGGCCCCUUUCGUACCAGGAUUACGAUGUUUAUCAUUGACUGAGCCCAGUGCAACAUUAUCUGGUUAAAAAGGCCUUUAGUUACACCACAGGAAGCCAGUCCACGCUCUGUGGGUAUAGGAAUUCAUACACUCUCAUUCUGCAGUUCGUGUGCCGCAGCGACCACACUUACAGUCCAACAAAUUCAUGAUUUCUGCUGUUUGUGCAUCAACUUCAGUUAUCAAAAAAAAAAAGGAAAUCAUGGUUUCAUUACAAUACUAAGUUUGAUAUUUAAUUUAUGAAAAAUCUAGUUGCAUUUGGGCCACUGAAGAAUGAUUCAGGCAUGCCCAACAAGUGGUUCAGUCAAGCGACACUAAUUGUUCCCUGCUGGUGGAAGGUAUUACAUGUGGUGCUAAACUGCCCUGAGGAGAUAAAAUCUAGACAAAAAUCCUGAAUAUAACUGGGCUGGUCAGGUGUUCUGUUAAAAGAGGAUUCACGGCAUAAGUGUGAGAAUUCUUGUCAGUGUGUUUAAUAAACAGAUCGAAUAUUUUAACCCUAAACAGUUAAUAAAAUUGAUACAGACACAAAUUGA
This 1831-nucleotide unclassified non-coding RNA is filed under the name Patiria miniata (bat star). Its description in RNAcentral is "rRNA N6-adenosine-methyltransferase METTL5-like, transcript variant X3". The record is from RNAcentral. Lineage: Eukaryota; Metazoa; Echinodermata; Asteroidea; Valvatida; Asterinidae.